RNAcentral lists this ribosomal RNA (490 nucleotides) under uncultured bacterium. RNAcentral describes it as "partial 16S ribosomal RNA". It matches the Rfam family "Bacterial small subunit ribosomal RNA", at positions 30 to 507 of the family's 1533-position model. The record is from RNAcentral.
AUUGAACGCUGGCGGCAGGCCUAACACAUGCAAGUCGAACGGUAACAGGAAGCAGCUUGCUGCUUCGCUGACGAGUGGCGGACGGGUGAGUAAUGUCUGGGAAGCUGCCUGAUGGAGGGGGAUAACUACUGGAAACGGUAGCUAAUACUGCAUAAUGUCGCAAGACCAAAGAGGGGGACCUUCGGGCCUCUUGCCAUCGGAUGUGCCCAGAUGGGAUUAGCUUGUUGGUGGGGUAACGGCUCACCAAGGCGACGAUCCCUAGCAGGUCUGAGAGGAUGACCAGCCACACUGGGACUGAGACACGGUCCAGACUCCUACGGGAGGCAGCAGUGGGGAAUAUUGCACAAUGGGCGCAAGCCUGAUGCAGCCAUGCCGCGUGUAUGAAGAAGGCCUUCGGGUUGUAAAGUACUUUCAGCGGGGAGGAAGGGAGUAAAGUUAAUACCUUUGCUCAUUGACGUUACCCGCAGAAGAAGCACCGGCUAACUCCGUG